AUGAAGAAGAUCAUGAACCGUUGCCGCAAGCUAGUGGGCAUGCUUGGUUGUGCUGCCUCGGUUGACGUGCAUGUUCCUCCUCCUGGUGGGUCGACACGUGCCCUAGCUUCAUCAAGCCACACCGGCGGAGGUUCCUCGAGCCAUGCCGCCUCGUCAUCUCGCCUUGUUAACGAGACCGAGGAAGAAGAGGAAGUGGACGAGGAGGAAGAGGAAGAAGAGGGAGAAGAGGAAGGAGGUGACGAUGAAGAAGGUGAUGAGGAGGAGUACGACGACGAUGAUGGACCUCAACCGACUCAGCCAACCCAACCGGAUGAGGGCCGCUCGAAGACAAACGAGGAGCGUGCCGCCAAGAGGGGGAGGGGGAGGAACUAG
This 372-nucleotide ribosomal RNA is filed under the name Triticum aestivum (bread wheat). Its description in RNAcentral is "partial small subunit ribosomal RNA". The record is from RNAcentral. Lineage: Eukaryota; Viridiplantae; Streptophyta; Magnoliopsida; Poales; Poaceae.